AUUGGUUUAGCUAAGUGGUAAGGCAACUGACUCGUACUCAGAAAAACCGUAGGUUCGAAUCCUACAACCAAUA
This 73-nucleotide transfer RNA is filed under the name Cetobacterium somerae. RNAcentral's name for it is "tRNA-Thr". It matches the Rfam family "tRNA". From Rfam's summary of the family: Transfer RNA (tRNA) molecules are approximately 80 nucleotides in length. Their secondary structure includes four short double-helical elements and three loops (D, anti-codon, and T loops). The record is from RNAcentral. Lineage: Bacteria; Fusobacteriati; Fusobacteriota; Fusobacteriia; Fusobacteriales; Fusobacteriaceae. RNAcentral also lists the same sequence under 1 other name.